CGGUGAAGCUGGAGCUUGCUCUGGGGGAUCAGUGGCGAACGGGUGAGUAACACGUGAGCAACCUGCCCCGUGACUCUGGGAUAAGCGCUGGAAACGGCGUCUAAUACUGGAUACGAGAAGUGAUCGCAUGGUCAACUACUGGAAAGAUUUUUUGGUUGGGGAUGGGCUCGCGGCCUAUCAGCUUGUUGGUGAGGUAAUGGCUCACCAAGGCGUCGACGGGUAGCCGGCCUGAGAGGGUGACCGGCCACACUGGGACUGAGACACGGCCCAGACUCCUACGGGAGGCAGCAGUGGGGAAUAUUGCACAAUGGGCGAAAGCCUGAUGCAGCAACGCCGCGUGAGGGAUGACGGCCUUCGGGUUGUAAACCUCUUUUAGCAGGGAAGAAGCGAGAGUGACGGUACCUGCAGAAAAAGCGCCGGCUAACUACGUGCCAGCAGCCGCGGUAAUACGUAGGGCGCAAGCGUUAUCCGGAAUUAUUGGGCGUAAAGAGCUCGUAGGCGGUUUGUCGCGUCUGCUGUGAAAUCUGGAGGCUCAACCUCCGGCCUGCAGUGGGUACGGGCAGACUAGAGUGCGGUAGGGGAGAUUGGAAUUCCUGGUGUAGCGGUGGAAUGCGCAGAUAUCAGGAGGAACACCGAUGGCGAAGGCAGAUCUCUGGGCCGUAACUGACGCUGAGGAGCGAAAGGGUGGGGAGCAAACAGGCUUAGAUACCCUGGUAGUCCACCCCGUAAACGUUGGGAACUAGUUGUGGG
This 750-nucleotide ribosomal RNA is filed under the name Microbacterium sp. ISP5-43-3. Its description in RNAcentral is "bacterial SSU rRNA". It matches the Rfam family "Bacterial small subunit ribosomal RNA", at positions 67 to 826 of the family's 1533-position model. The record is from RNAcentral. Lineage: Bacteria; Bacillati; Actinomycetota; Actinomycetes; Micrococcales; Microbacteriaceae.